Molecule: ribosomal RNA, 1015 nt
Filed under: Sordariomycetes sp. genotype css032
Lineage: Eukaryota; Fungi; Ascomycota; Sordariomycetes
Description: eukaryotic LSU rRNA
Rfam family: Eukaryotic large subunit ribosomal RNA (bases 495-1015)
Source: RNAcentral
CAUUACAGAGUUGCAAAACUCCAAACCCAUGUGAACAUACCUCGUGUUGCCUCGGCGGCGAGCGUAGUGCUCGGGAGGUGCCUACCCGGUACCUACCCUGGAGGACUUGCGCAUCCGCCGGAGGACCACUCAAACUCUUGUUUCUGUGUGGCACAUCUGAGUUAUUAUAUUUAAUAAGUCAAAACUUUCAACAACGGAUCUCUUGGUUCUGGCAUCGAUGAAGAACGCAGCGAAAUGCGAUAAGUAAUGUGAAUUGCAGAAUUCAGUGAAUCAUCGAAUCUUUGAACGCACAUUGCGCCCAUUAGUAUUCUAGUGGGCAUGCCUGUUCGAGCGUCAUUAAGUCCAUUAAGCCUAGUUGCUUAGCGUUGGGAGCAUUACCGCAUGGUAACUCCUUAAAGUCAGUGGCAGGGUUACGGUACACUCUAAGCGUAGUAGAUUUCUUUCUCGCUUUUGCUGUGGCCGCGGCCGUUGCCAUAAACCUAUAUUUAAUUGGUUGACCUCGGAUCAGGUAGGAAUACCCGCUGAACUUAAGCAUAUCAAUAAGCGGAGGAAAAGAAACCAACAGGGAUUGCCUUAGUAACGGCGAGUGAAGCGGCAACAGCUCAAAUUUGAAAUCUGGCCCCAGGUCCGAAUUGUAAUUUGUAGAGGAUGCUUUUGGUGCGGUACCUUCCGAGUUCCCUGGAACGGGACGCCUUAGAGGGUGAGAGCCCCGUACGGUUGGAUGCCUAGCCUCUGUAAAGCUCCUUCGACGAGUCGAGUAGUUUGGGAAUGCUGCUCUAAAUGGGAGGUAAAUUUCUUCUAAAGCUAAAUACCGGCCAGAGACCGAUAGCGCACAAGUAGAGUGAUCGAAAGAUGAAAAGCACUUUGAAAAGAGGGUUAAAUAGUACGUGAAAUUGUUGAAAGGGAAGCGCUUAUGACCAGACUUUUGCCUUGCGGAUCAUCCGGUGUUCUCACCGGUGCACUUCGCUUGGUUAAGGCCAGCGUCGAUUUUAGUAGGGGGAUAAAGGCUGGGGAA